This 3182-nucleotide long non-coding RNA is filed under the name Triticum aestivum (bread wheat). RNAcentral's name for it is "long non-coding RNA (TAES_LNC018615)". The record is from RNAcentral. Lineage: Eukaryota; Viridiplantae; Streptophyta; Magnoliopsida; Poales; Poaceae.
UAUUAUUAGGGAAUUUCAAAAUAUUCUCUAAUUCAGGAAAUAGAAAAAAAAACUAAACCUUGUCUCUUACCUCUCCCUCACAAUGUGAGCUCUCCUUGUCCAUAGGAGGCGUGCUCCACAUCUUUCUUCCCUUCCCCAAGCCGAAGGGAAGAAUCCCUUUCUCCUCGCUUCUCCAGGCAGCCUACUCCCUCCUCCCUUCCUUCCCCACUCCUCCCCAGGUGCCUCCUUGCUGCACCACACCCUUCACCAUCUCCAUGGCUGCCCUUUGAUUUAGGGCUUUGAGGAAGAAGGAAAGGACACAAGAAGAGGGAGAACAAGAAAGCUUCCCCAACUUUUCCCUUCACCAAAUCUUUGUGAUUUGACCAUAGAGGUGAGGUUCCCCAUCAUUUAUGAUCUAUCAUCCUCUAUUAGUGAUGAUUCAUGGAGCAUAGGGUUAGGACUAGAAACCUAUGUGAAGGAAUUGGGGAAAAAGUUGUUGAUGCUGCUGUUUCUCUGCGUUCAGAUCUGGAACCCAGCAAUUUCGAGUUCCUAUAUGGCACAAUUAGGUGGGGGUCAUGUGGAAUGUUUUGUAGGUAUUGUUCCCACGAUAUUUUUGAGUGGUCAGUCACUCAAUUUGGUUCAGCCGUUUAGCUGGGGCGAUAAUAACAAGUUGCUGCUCUGUUUCUGCAAAACAGCAUUUCUAUAGUUUUUACCCAUAGCUUUUCAGGAUCUUCGAGGGCUGAUAUAUAGAAUUCUCAUACUGAACGGAUCCCCCUCUCGAGGCCCCCGCAUCGCUCCCGCAAGGGUGACUCGGGCGGCGUAACCCUAGCCCGCCGCCGGCCCUCUCCCCCACCUCUCCUCUCCCUCGUCGCCACCGGAGGUGGCCGCCGGCUCGCCGCUCGGCCGCCGGUGAAGGUGGCGGCGAGGAUCUGGCCGCCCCGUUCUUCCUCGGGGGGCUUUGGAUCCGUGGCGGCGGCCUCGGCUGGUUGAUCGACGUCGGGUCUGUGGUGACCGGUGCUCGUUGGUGCUGGCCGUUCUUCCUCGGCCGCGGGGGCGGCGAGGCGGCGGCUGUGGUGCGGGCGUCUUGGCGGCGCCCGACCCAGAUCUGAAGGCCUCCGUCUACUUCAACCAGGGCUGCCUCCGAUGGUCCUGCUUUGGGCGGCCUUUGUCGCCGGAGUUGUACCUGUUUGGCGGCUGAAGGUGGGAGGUGGCUCCGGAGAAAUCCGAGGCCAGCAGUGCUGGCCACGACGGCGGCGACACCCGAGGGCGCCGUACCCUUCUUGUAGGUGCCGUCCAGGUUGCCUCCUUCCCCUCUUCCUUUCACCCAGCUCGUAUGCCGGGCGAAAGCCCAAAUCCUUGCCGGAUCGAGCGACAGCGGCGCUCCGGGCGUCGUCACCCUCUUGGGGGUGUCGUUCGUGGUGAGCUUGGGGUGGAUGUGAUGCUUUAGUUGCUUGGCGGCGGUUGGUGGCAUGGUCGGAGUUCGUCUGGUGGCGGUGCGUUGGCGCUCUGCCGCCUAUGUGCUUAGCCUCGGAGUCCCUCUUCCAAGGUGCUUGGUCUUCAACAGCCCUGCCGGACUCGGCGGAGCGGUGCUUCAUCCUACUCAUUGAUGGCGACGUAUCUCGGCGGCGUGGCGCAGUGGAGAUUCGGCGUCCGAUGUGUGGCGAUGGACUCGCGCAGGAGGACGAAGUUGUCUGGUGUCUUGGUGACAUCAAUGGCUGAGUGGCCAUACAAGGUAGAAGCCUCAAUAUUUGCUCUGAAGACGGACCUGCGGAAGAUGGCGGCGACGACACACGAGUGCGUCGGACCGGUUUGUACCCCAGACCCGGUAUGUGGCUCGGCUGGGGCUUCCGGCUUUUGAUGUUAGGCUUAGGUGUGUGGUCUGGGUAGUGGCCCAGCUAGCACCCCUUCAUCAUUUUGAUGUUAGGCUUAGAUGAGUGGUCUGGGUAGUGGCCCAGCUAGCACGCCUUCAUCAAUUGGAUAGGAGUAGCGGCAAAUGUUGCCAAGAUGGCGGAUUCAGGCAUAUUGUUGUAAUACUUUGUAAGGUCCUCGAGAAUAAUCAAUAAAGUGGCCGCAUGCAUCUCCCAGAUGCAGAGGACGGGGGUCAUCCGCCUUUUCUAAAAAAAAAAUCAAUGGUAUCGCUACCUGAUACCUUUUAGUUCAUAUAUCAAUUUUAUUUACUUACUCCCCAUGAGUAUUGGUCUUGCUAUGGAUUUCCAAAGGCGGCUACUCAUUAUUCCUGAAUCUGAAAACAGCAGAGAUGCUUUUGCUAGUUUUGACCCCCAUAAGCUCAUAAUCUGAGGUUGAAUAGUUGGAGUUAUUUGUAGAUGAGUUCCCCAUGAAUUCAUAUCCAUCUCGAUUGCAUGUUUUAGAGCUUCCUAGCUUGAGCUAUGAUUUUUUCCGUGAAGGGACAGCAAAGGGUUGCUUCCCGGGAGUGCAAUUAGGCGCGUUUUUGUGUGUGCUUUACAUAGCUUGUUUUGAUGCAACCUUUAACACUUGCAUGUAUGUCUCUACAGCAGGUUGCAGCACCAAUCCAUCGGAGAUAGCCUCGCGCCACCUCCCUCGCAACGGUUGAGGCGAGUACACCGGGCAACAAGAGCUAGAUUGCUCCCUUAAUAUUAUGUUCAUGUUCACGUUAUUCCUUUACAUUCAUGCAAUGGUCAACAAUACAACUCCCUAGUGUACAUUUCAAUACACCAUACCACUAGUAUGUGAUAGGGAUUGGUUUUUCUUGGUUCUUGAUAACAAAUCCAUCAUGAGUGAAUCUUCCAAGUUCAAGGAGUGAUCCUCGCUUCGCGAGCGUAUGGUCCUUCGGGUCCGUCCUCAUGUUAUGGUCCUCUCACUUGGUGAGGGUUGAAAAGGAGUGAGGUGAGACGUCGCCCCUCCUCAGCUUGCCGGCGAAAGCUCAGAGCCAAGUCCUUGGUCUUAUUUGGUUUAAUUGCUUCUUGUUGCAUUUUCAUGCUAUUCCAAGCAUGGGAGGUUUGAGUAUAGCAUUCACGUGUUCAAGAAUGGUUCAUAAACAUGGUCUUACUUGCUAUGUUUUACAUGCUUUGUUGUGUACUUGCUGAGUCUUUGGACUCACCCCUCGUGGACUUUGUUUUAGGUACAUCACCAUGAGGCUUUGCAAGUAGUAGGAAGGGCGUACCUUCCAUGGGUGUUCACUCACACAUUUCACACCCCUUCCAUCCACCUAGCUGAUCAUGAUA